RNAcentral lists this ribosomal RNA (468 nucleotides) under uncultured bacterium. Its description in RNAcentral is "partial 16S ribosomal RNA". It matches the Rfam family "Bacterial small subunit ribosomal RNA", at positions 28 to 507 of the family's 1533-position model. The record is from RNAcentral.
GACGAACGCUGGCGGCGUGCUUAACACAUGCAAGUCGAACGGAAAGGCCCUGCUUUUGUGGGGUUCUCGAGUGGCGAACGGGUGAGUAACACGUGAGUAACCUGCCCUUGACUUUGGGAUAACUUCAGGAAACUGGGGCUAAUACCGGAUAGGAGCUCCUGCUGCAUGGUGUGGGUUGGAAAGUUUCGGCUGUUGGGGAUGGACUCGCGGCUUAUCAGCUUGUUGGUGGGGUAGUGGCUUACCAAGGCUUUGACGGGUAGCCGGCCUGAGAGGGUGACCGGCGACAUGGGGACUGAGAGACGGCGCAGACUGCUACGGGAGGCAGCAGGGGGGAAUAUGGCACAAUGGGCGGAAGUCUGAGGCAGAGACGCCGCGUGCGGGAUGACGGCCUUCGGGGGGUAAACAGCUGUCGCCUGUGACGAAGAGUGAGUGACGGUAAUGGGUAAAGAAGCACCGGCUAACUACGUG